GGGUAAGGGUGAGGGUGGGGUCCCUCCAGUGUUUCAGAAAUAAAAGAGCUGUUCCCAGGGGUAAGCGAUGCUUGAUUGGAAGUACAAAGCCUUUCUUGUCUUCAUAAGCCUGUUGAUGUCUCUGGUCCUGAUCCUGAAAUCACAGAUGCAGACAGACUAACAGACACAGGCUUACAACUUGCAGGGCAGGCUCACAGAGCAGGUACCACAGAGGGCCUGGGGUCACUGUGCACUUGGAAGGGCCAGAGCUUCUGUCCCCUACAUCUGAUAUCUCUCCUCUGCCUGGACUCUCCAUGCAACAACUGGGCCUCCAAACUCCAAGCCCCUCUUGCCUUGGGACCCCUCCAGCCCAGGGACACCAGCCUGAGUUGUACAUAUUGUAGUCCCUGCCCCUAGAGGUC
RNAcentral lists this long non-coding RNA (401 nucleotides) under Homo sapiens (human). Its description in RNAcentral is "long non-coding RNA NONHSAT175117". Lineage: Eukaryota; Metazoa; Chordata; Mammalia; Primates; Hominidae. The record is from RNAcentral.